This 405-nucleotide ribosomal RNA is filed under the name uncultured bacterium. Its description in RNAcentral is "partial 16S ribosomal RNA". It matches the Rfam family "Bacterial small subunit ribosomal RNA", at positions 28 to 526 of the family's 1533-position model. The record is from RNAcentral.
GAUGAACGCUGGCGGCGUGCCUAAUACAUGCAAGUCGAGCGAAGCGGGGACGGGUGAGUAACACGUGGAUAACCUCCUAUAAGACUGGGAUAACUUCGGGAAACCGGAGCUAAACCGGAUAAUUAUAGAUGGAUCCGCGCUGCAUUAGCUCGUUGUGAAGGUAACGGCUUACCAAGGCAACGAUGCAUAGACGACCGGAGCUGGUGUGCUGCCACACUGUAACGGAGACACGGUCCAGACGCCUACGGGAGGCAGCAGUAGGGAAUCUUCCGCAAUGGGCGAAAGCCUGACGGAGCAACGCCGCGUGAGUGAUGAAGGUCUUCGGAUCGUAAAACUCUGUUAUUAGGGAAGCGGUACCUAAUCAGAAAGCCACGGCUAACUACGUGCCAGCCGCCGCGGUAAUAC